UUAAGCAUAUCAAUAAGCGGAGGAAAAGAAACCAACUGGGAUUGCGUUAGUAACGGCGAGUGAAGCGGCAAUAGCUCAAAUUUGAAAGCUGGCCCCUUCGGGGUCCGCGUUGUAAUUUGUAGAGGAUGAUUCGGCGAGGGCUCCCGUCUAAGUCCCCUGGAACGGGGCGUCAUAGAGGGUGAGAAUCCCGUAUGUGAUGGGUUGCCUUAGCCAUGUGAAUCUCCUUCGACGAGUCGAGUUGUUUGGGAAUGCAGCUCUAAAUGGGAGGUAAAUUUCUUCUAAAGCUAAAUACCGGCCAGAGACCGAUAGCGCACAAGUAGAGUGAUCGAAAGAUGAAAAGCACUUUGGAAAGAGAGUUAAAAAGUACGUGAAAUUGUUGAAAGGGAAGCGCUUGCAGCCAGACUUGUCCGCAGUUGCUCAGCCGGUCUCCUGACCGGCGUACUCUUCUGCGGCCAGGCCAGCAUCAGUUCGGGCGGUCGGAUAAAGACCUCGGGAAUGUAGCUCCUCUCGGGGAGUGUUAUAGCCCGGGGUGGAAUGCGGCCAGCCUGGACUGAGGAUCUCGCUUCGGCUAGGAUGCUGGCGUAAUGGCUGU
Molecule: ribosomal RNA, 592 nt
Filed under: Botryosphaeriaceae sp. JAL-2011c
Lineage: Eukaryota; Fungi; Ascomycota; Dothideomycetes; Botryosphaeriales; Botryosphaeriaceae
Description: LSU rRNA
Rfam family: Eukaryotic large subunit ribosomal RNA
Source: RNAcentral